GACGAACCGUGCGAACGUUAUUCGGAAUCACUGGGCUUAAAGCGCGUGUAGGCGGAUGGGAACGUCGGUCGUUGAAAUCCCCCGGCUUAACCGGGGAAGUGGCGCCGAUACGCCCCGUCUUGAGGAACGUAGGGGGAGCGGGAACUUCCGGUGGAGCGGUGAAAUGCGUUGAGAUCGGAAGGAACGCCCGUGGCGAAAGCGCGCUCCUGGACGUUUUCUGACGCUGAGACGCGAAAGCCAGGGGAGCGAACGGG
Molecule: ribosomal RNA, 254 nt
Filed under: uncultured bacterium
Lineage: Bacteria
Description: partial 16S ribosomal RNA
Rfam family: Bacterial small subunit ribosomal RNA
Source: RNAcentral